Molecule: ribosomal RNA, 523 nt
Filed under: uncultured Fibrobacterota bacterium
Lineage: Bacteria; Pseudomonadati; Fibrobacterota
Description: bacterial SSU rRNA
Rfam family: Bacterial small subunit ribosomal RNA
Source: RNAcentral
CUGACGCAGCAACGCCGCGUGACCGAUGAAGCUUCUAGGAGUGUAAAGGUCUGUCGUGAGGGAAGAAAAAUCCGGAUGUAAAUAAUGUUCGGACGUGACGGUACCUCACAAGAAAGCACCGGCUAACUUAGUGCCAGCAGCCGCGGUAAUACUAGGGGUGCUAGCGUUGUCCGGAAUCACUGGGCGUAAAGGGUCCGUAGGCGUUUUGCUAAGUUGAUUGUUAAAUCCAUCGGCUCAACCGAUGAUCUGCAAUCAAAACUGGUAGAAUAGAGUUCGAGAGAGGAAAGUGGAAUUCCUGGUGUAGCGGUGACAUGCGUAGAUAUCAGGAGGAACACCAAUGGCGAAGGCAGCUUUCUGGCUCGAUACUGACGCUGAGGGACGAAAGCGUGGGGAGCGAACAGGAUUAGAUACCCUGGUAGUCCACGCCGUAAACGAUGAGUACUUGAUGAUGGAGGAUUCGACCCCUUCGUUGUCGUAGCUAACGCGAUAAGUACUCCGCCUGGGGACUACGACCGCAAGGUUG